This 262-nucleotide ribosomal RNA is filed under the name uncultured bacterium. Its description in RNAcentral is "partial 16S ribosomal RNA". It matches the Rfam family "Bacterial small subunit ribosomal RNA", at positions 335 to 614 of the family's 1533-position model. The record is from RNAcentral.
UAGCCUACGGGAGGCAGCAGUGGGGAAUAUUGCACAAUGGGGGAAACCCUGAUGCAGCGACGCCGCGUGAGUGAAGAAGGAUUUCGGUAUGUAAAGCUCUAUCAGCAGGGAAGAAAACGACGGUACCUGACUAAGAAGCCCCGGCUAACUACGUGCCAGCAGCCGCGGGAAUACGUAGGGGGCAAGCGUUAUCCGGAUUUACUGGGUGUAAAGGAAGCGUAGACGGUGGAGCAAGUCUGAAGUGAAAGCCCGCGGCUCAACU